GGUUGAGGUCGUGUCCUCGCUGGGCCCCCGGUGGGUCCGAGGGGAGGUUCCCCCAGCCUGCGGCGGGGCCUGGCCUCUCCCGUCCCGGCGGAAGGUGCGAACCCCCCCAGACCUACUUCUCCCUGCAGGGCGGCGGGUGACCCGACUGGAGGCCCUGACCCAGAGUCCAGGUCUGUAUCUGAAGCGCUCAGCAAUAAAGGUGGCUGUGCUGCAGAGUGCCUGUUAGGCUCAGACUCCCAGGCCAGGCCCAGACACAGUUCCUGGAACGUUCGAGGCACCACUGACAAAGACCUUACUACCCAAGGUGCUGGACUGAUGGAGCUGGAAGGUCCCCAGACCCCGUU
Molecule: long non-coding RNA, 344 nt
Organism: Nyctereutes procyonoides (raccoon dog)
Lineage: Eukaryota; Metazoa; Chordata; Mammalia; Carnivora; Canidae
Exons: 3
Source: RefSeq, a predicted model, not a curated record